This 191-nucleotide small nucleolar RNA is filed under the name Kluyveromyces lactis. The record is from RNAcentral. Lineage: Eukaryota; Fungi; Ascomycota; Saccharomycetes; Saccharomycetales; Saccharomycetaceae.
AGGGCUCUUAAACACAUUUCGGCAUGUUCAAUUAUGGUUCGCGUUGUGGUUAUCAUGGCGCAGACUUAUUCCACGCAUGUAGAAGUAAGCUCAAGAUGCCCAGAGCUGGGAUACUCCCAUUUAACGCCCUUUUCGCUAACAACAACUGAAUUCCUACAGUUUGUAGUUUGAUAGUAGGUGGGCGGAAAUAU